CCAGUUGGCCGGGCAGCCGCGCCUUGCAAGGGCCGAAAGGCCGCAGGGUGAGGAAAGUCCGGGCUCCACGGAAACACGGUGCCGGAUAACGUCCGGCGGGGGCGACCCCAGGGAAAGUGCCACAGAAAGCAAACCGCCUUCCUUGGAAGGUAAGGGUGAAAGGGUGGGGUAAGAGCCCACCGCGUGCAUGGCGACAUGGACGGCACGGUAAACCCCACCGGGAGCAAAACCGAAUAGGGAUGACGCGGAGCGCGCAAGCGCUCCAGCCUGUUUCCGGGCCGGUCAUCCGGGUGGGUUGCAAGAGGCCGGGCGCAAGUCCGGUCCCAGAUGAAUGGCUGCCACGUUCCGGCGAAAGCCGGAGCCUUACAGAACCCGGCUUACAGGCCAACUGGCAAA
Molecule: RNase P RNA, 396 nt
Filed under: Shinella zoogloeoides
Lineage: Bacteria; Pseudomonadati; Pseudomonadota; Alphaproteobacteria; Hyphomicrobiales; Rhizobiaceae
Also listed under: 2 other names
Description: RNase P class A
Rfam family: Bacterial RNase P class A
About the family: Ribonuclease P (RNase P) is a ubiquitous endoribonuclease, found in archaea, bacteria and eukarya as well as chloroplasts and mitochondria.
Source: RNAcentral